GUGAUCUAUGAUGACCUUUUUAACAAGAGACUGUUGGAUGAAUCUUGCGGAUAUGGGACUGAGCUCAAUG
Molecule: small nucleolar RNA, 70 nt
Filed under: Hippocampus comes (tiger tail seahorse)
Lineage: Eukaryota; Metazoa; Chordata; Actinopteri; Syngnathiformes; Syngnathidae
Description: Small nucleolar RNA SNORD99 (ENSHCOG00000005598.1)
Source: RNAcentral